Molecule: long non-coding RNA, 422 nt
Filed under: Homo sapiens (human)
Lineage: Eukaryota; Metazoa; Chordata; Mammalia; Primates; Hominidae
Description: HSALNT0023321
Source: RNAcentral
CUCGGUCCCUGGCUGUGGGCCCUGGCCUGCAUCACUGCUGAGAACACAGGCAACCCUGGCCUCCAUCACUGCUGAGGACACAGGGUCCCCCCGUCCCUGGCUGUGGCCCCCGGCCUGCAUCACUGCUGAGGACACAGGUGUUCCCUGUCCCUGGCCAUGGCCCCCGACCUUCAUCACUGCUGAGGACACAGGUGUCUGUUCCCCAUCCCUGGCCGUUGCCCCCUGGCUGGCAUCACUGCUGAGGACACAGGGUCCCCCAUCCCUGGCUGUGACCCCUGGCCUCCAUCAUUGCUAAGGACACAGGCAUUUGUCCCCCUCUCCCUUGCUGUGGCCCCAAGCAUCUGCCCUUUGCCUCCCACAGGGCCGAGGGUGAAACUGAAUCCGGGACAGUGACACCCGGGCUAUUUUGGGGCUGGGCUGGG